GUCUUUUUGAUUGUUUAUUUAAAGUCAGGCCUGCCCAAUGAUUUUUAUUUAAUGGCUGCGGUAUUUUAACUGCACGAAGGUAGCAUAAUCGUUUGUUUAAUAAUUUUAGACUAGUAUGAAUGGUUUAUUUAAGAAUCAAACUUUCUUGUUUUUAAAAGUAAAAAUUUAUUUUUUUAGUUAAAAAACUGAAAUUUUUUUAUGGGACGAGAAGACCCUAUAGAACUUUAUAUAAAUUUAUUUAAAUUUAAAUAAAUUUAUAUUAAAUUGGGGUGAUUAUAAUUUUUUUUUAACAAUUAUUUUUCUGUCAUUGAUUUUUGAUUUUUUGAUCCAAUUUUUUUGAUUAUAAGAUUAAGUUACCUUAGGGAUAACAGCGUAAUUUAAUUGAAGAGUUCUUAUCGAUAAUUUAAGUUUGCGA
This 415-nucleotide ribosomal RNA is filed under the name Membracioides sp. UCR ENT 00084401. RNAcentral's name for it is "partial large subunit ribosomal RNA". The record is from RNAcentral. Lineage: Eukaryota; Metazoa; Arthropoda; Insecta; Hemiptera; Schizopteridae.